Molecule: ribosomal RNA, 443 nt
Filed under: uncultured bacterium
Lineage: Bacteria
Description: partial 16S ribosomal RNA
Rfam family: Bacterial small subunit ribosomal RNA
Source: RNAcentral
CCUACGGGUGGCAGCAGUGGGGAAUAUUGGACAAUGGGGGGAACCCUGAUCCAGCGACGCCGCGUGAGUGAAGAAGUAUUUCGGUAUGUGAAGCCCUAUCAGCAGGGAAGAAAGAAAUGACGGUACCUGACUAAGAAGCCCCGGCUAACUACGUGCCAGCAGCCGCGGUAAUACGUAGGGGGCAAGCGUUAUUCGGAUUUACUGGGUGUAAAGGGAGCGUAGACGGCGAUGCAAGUCUGAAGUGAAAGGCGGGGGCCCAACCCCCGGACUGCUUUGGAAACUGUAUGGCUGGAGUGAAGGAGAGGUAAGUGGAAUGCCUAGUGUAGCGGUGAAAUGCGUAGAUAUUAGGAGGAACACCAGUGGCGAAGGCGGCUUACUGGACUGUAACUGACGUUGAGGCUCGAAAGCGUGGGGAGCAAACAGGAUUAGAUACCCCUGUAGUC